UUUGUGUUCUCUAUUAUGUGCGUGGCAUAGAGUAAAAAAAAUCUUGUCUGCUUCUCAUGCCAUUUCUGAUUUGUUAAUUUAACCCUUCACUCAUCAGAUCGAAAGGACUGUGAGAAUGGCUGAGAGGAUCAUAGGGGUCUCCCUACCAUCCAUCAGCAACAUUCAUCAGGAGUGCAGCAUACGCAGGGCCCUUAGUAUUAUCAAGGGUCCCAUCCAUCCAUCCAUCCAGCAUCCACUUUGACUUUCUACCGUCAGGAAAUGACAUGAAUGUUGAAGUUUUGGAGGAUUCGGGGAAUAGAGGAAGAGAGUUCUUGUGAUUAGAUGUCCAAUUGAGUCUGCGGAGGUCCAGCAUCAAAAAACUUGGAUGUGUGAUGGGAAAUGUGCUGACUGGCUGCAAAGACCUGGUAUGGGAACACCAAUGGCUUUGAGCAAAAAAUCCUACUAAAGGUAAUGGAUUUGGCCCAGUGCUUCAGGGGUAAAACCCUCCCAGCCAUUGAGCACAUCUACAUGAAACGUUGCCGUAGAAAAGCAGCAUCCAUCAUCAAAAGUCCUCACACACCACCCAGGCCGUGCUGCCAACAGGCAGAACGUACAAGAGCCUCAGGACUCGUACCAACAGUUUUAAGAAAAGUUACUACCCCUCAACUAUCAAGCUCUUGAACAAAAAGGGAUAGCUACACUCAUUUAAGGACUGUUAUACAGAUUUCCUCAGAAUGCCCACAAAAAAAACCUCCCAGGAUUGUAUGUGGUGACAUUUACAUACGCGGAAAUAAAUUUUACUUUGAACUAUGAA
Molecule: long non-coding RNA, 793 nt
Organism: Hypanus sabinus (Atlantic stingray)
Lineage: Eukaryota; Metazoa; Chordata; Chondrichthyes; Myliobatiformes; Dasyatidae
Exons: 4
Source: RefSeq, a predicted model, not a curated record